UGCAAGUCGAACGAUGAUGCCCAGCUUGCUGGGUGGAUUAGUGGCGAACGGGUGAGUAACACGUGAGUAACCUGCCCCUGACUCUGGGAUAAGCGUUGGAAACGACGUCUAAUACUGGAUAUGAUCACUGGCCGCAUGGUCUGGUGGUGGAAAGAUUUUUUGGUUGGGGAUGGACUCGCGGCCUAUCAGCUUGUUGGUGAGGUAAUGGCUCACCAAGGCGACGACGGGUAGCCGGCCUGAGAGGGUGACCGGCCACACUGGGACUGAGACACGGCCCAGACUCCUACGGGAGGCAGCAGUGGGGAAUAUUGCACAAUGGGCGAAAGCCUGAUGCAGCAACGCCGCGUGAGGGAUGACGGCCUUCGGGUUGUAAACCUCUUUUAGUAGGGAAGAAGCGAAAGUGACGGUACCUGCAGAAAAAGCACCGGCUAACUACGUGCCAGCAGCCGCGGUAAUACGUAGGGUGCAAGCGUUGUCCGGAAUUAUUGGGCGUAAAGAGCUCGUAGGCGGUUUGUCGCGUCUGCUGUGAAAUCCCGAGGCUCAACCUCGGGCUUGCAGUGGGUACGGGCAGACUAGAGUGCGGUAGGGGAGAUUGGAAUUCCUGGUGUAGCGGCGGAAUGCGCAGAUAUCAGGAGGAACACCGAUGGCGAAGGCAGAUCUCUGGGCCGUAACUGACGCU
Molecule: ribosomal RNA, 679 nt
Filed under: Curtobacterium sp.
Lineage: Bacteria; Bacillati; Actinomycetota; Actinomycetes; Micrococcales; Microbacteriaceae
Description: bacterial SSU rRNA
Rfam family: Bacterial small subunit ribosomal RNA
Source: RNAcentral